CGGAAGUGCGAUAGGGGAAUCCCAAGUGCGAGGGCAUAUUAGCCCUCGCUUUUCUUGACUGUAAGGUGGUCGACGAAUAAGAGCUGGGCAAGACCGGUGCCAGCCGCCGCGGUAAUACCGGCAGCUCAAGUGAUGUCCCAUAUUAUUGGGCCUAAAGCGUCCGUAGCUGGCCGACCAAGUCUCUCGGGAAAUCCACCCGCCCAACGGGUGGGCGUCCGGUAGAAACUGGCCGGCUUGGAACCGGAAGGCUCAGAGAGUACGUCCGGGGUAGGAGUGAAAUCCCGUAAUCCCGGACGGACCACCGAUGGCGAAAGCACUUUGAGAAGACGGCUUCGACAGUGAGGGACGAAAGCUAGGGUCUCAAACCGGAUUAGAUACCCGGGUAGUCCGAGCCGUAAACGAUGCUCGUUAGGUGUGGCACCCACUACGAGUGGGUGCUGUGCCGUAGGGAAGCCGCUAAACGA
Molecule: ribosomal RNA, 464 nt
Filed under: uncultured bacterium
Lineage: Bacteria
Description: bacterial SSU rRNA
Rfam family: Archaeal small subunit ribosomal RNA
Source: RNAcentral